CGGAAGAUUCGGACCAUUGUGUGCACUCAGCAGCAGGGCUUGAGAGGAUUGACUCCAGGUUUGAAAGAAGUUCUGCUGAGGGAAAUUUCCGUGGCCACCCUGACUUGCAGUAGCUGUCACCUGACCAGUCAACAGUCAUUGACAUCUAUGGAAGACGCUCCACUGGAAGAGGAUUAGAACUGGCUAAAGGCUUCAGUGAUCAAUAGUAUUUUUGAUUGAGUUGUUUACCUCUUCUUAGACAUAAUGUUACUGCACACUUAACAGACAAUGGUGUAGUAUAAACAUUUUAUAUGCACCUGGAAGUCCCAAAAUUCGCAUAA
This is a long non-coding RNA of Peromyscus eremicus (cactus mouse), 320 nucleotides long. RefSeq lists it as uncharacterized. The transcript is spliced from 2 exons. NCBI's taxonomy places the organism in Eukaryota, Metazoa, Chordata, Mammalia, Rodentia, Cricetidae. The record is from RefSeq and is a predicted model, not a curated record.